Molecule: ribosomal RNA, 752 nt
Filed under: Diatraea saccharalis (sugarcane borer)
Lineage: Eukaryota; Metazoa; Arthropoda; Insecta; Lepidoptera; Crambidae
Description: partial 28S large subunit ribosomal RNA
Rfam family: Eukaryotic large subunit ribosomal RNA
Source: RNAcentral
GAUUCUGCCAGUGCCUGAUGUCACGUGAAGAAUCAAGCAGCGCGGGUAACGGCGCGGGAGUACUAUGACUCUCUUAGGUAGCAAUGCUCGUCAUCUAAUUAGUGACGCGCUAAUGGAUUAAACGAGAUUCCCCCGUSCCUUUUUUUUUUUUUUUGAAACCACAGCCAAGGGAACGGGGCUUGGAAGAAUAACCGGGGGAAAGAAGACCCUGUUGAGCUUGACUCUAGUCUGGCAUUGUAAGGAGACAUGAGAGGUGUAGCAUAAGUGGGAGAUCGCUCGCGGUCGUCGCUGAAAAACCACUACUUUCAUUGUUUCAUUACUUACUCGGUUGGGCGGAAGCGGUGCGCGGUCGAUUAUAUCGGCGGGCGCACGGUGUUUCGUUCCAAGCGUGUAGAGUGGUGACGUGGCGGCAACGCUCGUCACCGUUAAACUCCCGCGUGAUCCGGUUCGAGGACACUGUCAGGCUGGGAGUUUGACUGGGGCGGUACAUCUGUCAAAAGAUUAACGCAGGUGUCCUAAGGCCAGCUCAGCGAGGACAGAAACCUCGCGUGGAGCAAAGGGGCCAAAAGGCUGGGCUUUAAUCCCAAAAAGUGUCCAGUACGCAUAGGGACUGCGAAACCCCGGCCUAUCGAUCCUUUAGUAUAAAGAGUUUUUAGCAGAGGUGCCAGAAAAGUUACCACAGGGAUAACUGGCUUGUGCAGCCAAGCGUUCAUAGCGACGUGCUUUUAUCCUUCAUGUCGCUCUCCAUCUCC